Molecule: ribosomal RNA, 650 nt
Filed under: uncultured bacterium
Lineage: Bacteria
Description: bacterial SSU rRNA
Rfam family: Bacterial small subunit ribosomal RNA
Source: RNAcentral
UCAGGCCUAACACAUGCAAGUCGAGCGGACAGAAGGGAGCUUGCUCCCGGAUGUUAGCGGCGGACGGGUGAGUAACACGUGGGUAACCUGCCUGUAAGACUGGGAUAACUCCGGGAAACCGGAGCUAAUACCGGAUAGUUCCUUGAACCGCAUGGUUCAAGGAUGAAAGACGGUUUCGGCUGUCACUUACAGAUGGACCCGCGGCGCAUUAGCUAGUUGGUGGGGUAAUGGCUCACCAAGGCGACGAUGCGUAGCCGACCUGAGAGGGUGAUCGGCCACACUGGGACUGAGACACGGCCCAGACUCCUACGGGAGGCAGCAGUAGGGAAUCUUCCGCAAUGGACGAAAGUCUGACGGAGCAACGCCGCGUGAGUGAUGAAGGUUUUCGGAUCGUAAAGCUCUGUUGUUAGGGAAGAACAAGUGCGAGAGUAACUGCUCGCACCUUGACGGUACCUAACCAGAAAGCCACGGCUAACUACGUGCCAGCAGCCGCGGUAAUACGUAGGUGGCAAGCGUUGUCCGGAAUUAUUGGGCGUAAAGGGCUCGCAGGCGGUUUCUUAAGUCUGAUGUGAAAGCCCCCGGCUCAACCGGGGAGGGUCAUUGGAAACUGGGAAACUUGAGUGCAGAAGAGGAGAGUGGAAUUCCACGUG